AUGAACGCUGGCGGCGUGCUUCACACCUGCCAGUCGAACGAAGCACUUUAUUUGAUUUCCUUCGGGACUGAUUAUUUUGUGACUGAGUGGCGGACGGGUGAGUAACGCGUGGGUAACCUGCCUUGUACAGGGGGAUAACAGUUGGAAACGGCUGCUAAUACCGCAUAAGCGCACGGCAUCGCAUGAUGCAGUGUGAAAAACUCCGGUGGUAUAAGAUGGACCCGCGUUGGAUUAGCUAGUUGGUGAGGUAACGGCCCACCAAGGCGACGAUCCAUAGCCGACCUGAGAGGGUGACCGGCCACAUUGGGACUGAGACACGGCCCAAACUCCUACGGGAGGCAGCAGUGGGGAAUAUUGCACAAUGGGCGAAAGCCUGAUGCAGCGACGCCGCUGAGCGAAGAAGUAUUUCGGUAUGUAAAGCUCUAUCAGCAGGGAAGAUAAUGACGGUACCUGACUAAGAAGCACCGGCUAAAUACGUG
Molecule: ribosomal RNA, 479 nt
Filed under: uncultured bacterium
Lineage: Bacteria
Description: partial 16S ribosomal RNA
Rfam family: Bacterial small subunit ribosomal RNA
Source: RNAcentral